Molecule: ribosomal RNA, 301 nt
Filed under: uncultured bacterium
Lineage: Bacteria
Description: partial 16S ribosomal RNA
Rfam family: Bacterial small subunit ribosomal RNA
Source: RNAcentral
CAGUAGCCGCGGGAAAACGAGGGGGGCUAGCGUUGCUCGGAAUUACUGGGCGUAAAGGGAGCGUAGGCGGAUCGUUUAGUCAGGGGUGAAAUCCCGGGGCUCAACCUCGGAACUGCCUUUGAUACUGGCGAUCUUGAGUAUGGGAGAGGUGUGUGGAACUCCGAGUGUAGAGGUGAAAUUCGUAGAUAUUCGGAAGAACACCAGUGGCGAAGGCGACACACUGGCCCAUUACUGACGCUGAGGCUCGAAAGCGUGGGGAGCAAACAGGAUUAGAUACCCCUGUAGUCCCUGUCUCUUAUAC